RNAcentral lists this unclassified non-coding RNA (306 nucleotides) under Hevea brasiliensis (rubber tree). The record is from RNAcentral. Lineage: Eukaryota; Viridiplantae; Streptophyta; Magnoliopsida; Malpighiales; Euphorbiaceae.
UGAAGGUGCAGAAUAGCUCGAAGAGAAGGACUCCAAGUCGGUAAACGUCUGAAGCACAAGAGCUUGGAGCACCAGCAAUUUCUUCUGGACUAGUGUACCAAUUGGUUUCCAUGAGCAACAUUUGUUUCAUUGGGAAGGUGUGCUGUUUUUCUUCAAGUCUGUUCAUACUAGCUUCUAAAGUCUGAACCAUAUGGCCUGAGCUUGACUGUAAGCAACAGUUUUCAGAUAAUCCGAUUGAAGCUUUUACAGAAAUCUUCUCAAGCUGAGAACUAUGAAUCCCCAGCCCUUCCGAUUUAUGAGGCAAAA